UGCGCAGGCGGAAUGAUAAGUCAGUGGUGAAAUCCUACAGCUUAACUGUAGAACUGCCAUUGAUACUGUCGUUCUUGAGUACAGUUGAAGUGGGCGGAAUGUGUCAUGUAGCGGUGAAAUGCAUAGAUAUGACACAGAACACCGAUAGCGAAGGCAGCUCACUAAGCUGAAACUGACGCUCAGGCACGAAAGCGUGGGGAGCAAACAGGAUUAGAUACCCUGGUAGUC
RNAcentral lists this ribosomal RNA (228 nucleotides) under uncultured bacterium. Its description in RNAcentral is "partial 16S ribosomal RNA". It matches the Rfam family "Bacterial small subunit ribosomal RNA", at positions 568 to 795 of the family's 1533-position model. The record is from RNAcentral.